RNAcentral lists this ribosomal RNA (877 nucleotides) under Enterococcus casseliflavus. RNAcentral describes it as "bacterial SSU rRNA". It matches the Rfam family "Bacterial small subunit ribosomal RNA", at positions 25 to 873 of the family's 1533-position model. Lineage: Bacteria; Bacillati; Bacillota; Bacilli; Lactobacillales; Enterococcaceae. The record is from RNAcentral.
CAGGACGAACGCUGGCGGCGUGCCUAAUACAUGCAAGUCGAACGCUUUUUCUUUCACCGGAGCUUGCUCCACCGAAAGAAAAAGAGUGGCGAACGGGUGAGUAACACGUGGGUAACCUGCCCAUCAGAAGGGGAUAACACUUGGAAACAGGUGCUAAUACCGUAUAACACUAUUUUCCGCAUGGAAGAAAGUUGAAAGGCGCUUUUGCGUCACUGAUGGAUGGACCCGCGGUGCAUUAGCUAGUUGGUGAGGUAACGGCUCACCAAGGCAACGAUGCAUAGCCGACCUGAGAGGGUGAUCGGCCACACUGGGACUGAGACACGGCCCAGACUCCUACGGGAGGCAGCAGUAGGGAAUCUUCGGCAAUGGACGAAAGUCUGACCGAGCAACGCCGCGUGAGUGAAGAAGGUUUUCGGAUCGUAAAACUCUGUUGUUAGAGAAGAACAAGGAUGAGAGUAAAAUGUUCAUCCCUUGACGGUAUCUAACCAGAAAGCCACGGCUAACUACGUGCCAGCAGCCGCGGUAAUACGUAGGUGGCAAGCGUUGUCCGGAUUUAUUGGGCGUAAAGCGAGCGCAGGCGGUUUCUUAAGUCUGAUGUGAAAGCCCCCGGCUCAACCGGGGAGGGUCAUUGGAAACUGGGAGACUUGAGUGCAGAAGAGGAGAGUGGAAUUCCAUGUGUAGCGGUGAAAUGCGUAGAUAUAUGGAGGAACACCAGUGGCGAAGGCGGCUCUCUGGUCUGUAACUGACGCUGAGGCUCGAAAGCGUGGGGAGCGAACAGGAUUAGAUACCCUGGUAGUCCACGCCGUAAACGAUGAGUGCUAAGUGUUGGAGGGUUUCCGCCCUUCAGUGCUGCAGCAAACGCAUUAAGCACUCCGCC